GAGAAGUAAGUUGUGAAAAUCUAGUGAAGUCUGGAACUUGAAAAUAUAAUUUAUUUAACUGCUGUAAUAUAAAAAGGAAUUAAAAUACAAAAAUGAAGUUUCAAUACAAGGAAGAUCAUGCAUUUGAGAAGCGACGUGCUGAAGGUGACAAAAUACGUAGGAAGUACCCAGACCGUGUACCAGUAAGUACAAUGAAAAAUUUUCAUUACAUUUGUAUGCAAUUUUAUAAUAUACUCGUUGGUAAUGAUUCCAUACAAACUUAGAAAGUAAUAUCCAUACAUAAGUGUGAUUGUGAACGGAGUAUGGGGUUUUCUUUGUUACGAAAAUAGCCAAGUAGGGGCGGGGGGUAAAAUGCAAUAAAAAAUUGCGUCAUAGAAAAUAGAUUCUUAAAAAAUUUAUGAUAAUAUAUAAACGUUUAGUUGUGAACAAGUAUAUUUUUCUGUUGCCUUUAUAUUCUUUUACAGCAACAAUUUUGUGUACGCAUUGAGUAUUAUAUGCAUACAUUUUCAACAAUAGUACAAAUGUAUAUGUAUUUUUGUUUUUCGUUUCGUAUUGCUGUUUUCGGUAGCAGUGUUACCAACUUCAAUAAAAACUUGUACUGAUUCUCUCAUAAAAAUAAUGUUUGUGGAGUAUAAUAUACAAGUAGAAAUGCAAAAUAAAUUGAAGCGCUUCCAAACGUUGUGUCAAGGUCGAAACCAAAUAUUGGCAACAAGACAAUGUACCUAUAAAGGUUAUUGGCAACAAAACAUUUCAUUAUAAAAAUUUUUGAAUUCUCAAAUUAUCAGCUUAUUAACUUUUUUGUUUGCAUACAAAGUGGCCAAACAGGUAUCAUAAUAAAAAAGACAAAACGCCAAUGCGCACUAAAACAUAACACAUAAUUCUGCUGUGCAGACCGAAAAAAGCUUAUUUGUUUACUCAUUUUAGAGCGAAUAUUUAUCAGUAUAUACCAUAUUUGUGUGUAUAUACUAAACUGUCGAUUUUUGUUUAGUAUUGUAUAUUUUUUUUUAUUCUAUUCGGCCUUAUAACUGCGCAUAUAGAUUUAACUAUUUGGUAUACGUGUGUUUAUAGCUUGACUUCUUCAUAUGUGUUUAUGGCAUAUACGUAAAUAUUUUCACAUUUUCUUUUAUACAUGUUUGCCAUUUUUUGUACAUGUUACAUUUUCCGUAUUUCGUACUUUAUAUGCUUUAUUAACUGAAGUACUAACUAAUAUGUGAAAAUUACUACAAAUAUUUUACUUACGUAGUUAGUCAUGUUGUGAUUAAUUUAUAUGAAUUUCACAAGAAACCGAAAAAAUUUAUAUUUCCAAAGUUUCUUAGCCAUAUGUUCUCUGUAGUAUUAGCAGUAUAAUCUUACUGUAAAAAACUUUAACGCGGAAACGUUCUUUUGCCUUUUUCUCUUAUUCAAUGAAAUGCAAAAUUAAGUGUCUGUGUUUGACGAGAAUUACAAGCACUGACAUUUUUUAAAACAACAAAUUGAUCUAUCUAUUGAUACGGUUUUAGGAAUUUUUUUGUGGGCACAAGGGUAUUUCGUCAAUGCAUCAAAUCUUAAAUAAAUGGUUUGUUUCAAGGUUUGCAGGUGUUGAUCAUAGCAUGUGAGAGUUUAAUUAUUAAAAGUACAAUCUAUUAAAUUUUAGCAAAAUGUACACUGUGUAGAGAUCACACAGUCUAAUUUAACAAGAAAUCUUGGUUUAAUCUCCCUUCGCUUGUAGAAUUUGCUAACUUUCCUUUGUACGGAUUAUAACCACUCUGUUACCUUCAGUGCAAGCAGGUAAAGAUCAAUCUUUAAACGCAGAAUGAGAGUGAUUUACAGAUCACUUCAUUAAUUGUGUAUACCUGUUCUUAUAUGUAAGGAUGUUCAUAUUUUCUUUUGUCUUACGACUUAUUUGAAAUUUUCAUGUUUCAAGAUCGUAGUUCAGUAUUCAUUUAGUGCUUGUUGUAGGUAGAUCUUUUCACAGUCACUACUUUUGGUGAAAACUGUUCUGUGCUUCAUACUUUAAUUUUUUCUUAACAGGUCAUUGUGGAGAAGGCGCCAAAGGCACGCAUUGGUGAUUUAGAUAAGAAAAAGUAUUUGGUUCCAUCUGACUUAACAGUUGGUCAAUUCUAUUUCUUAAUUCGCAAGCGUAUACAUUUGCGCCCCGAAGAUGCAUUGUUCUUCUUCGUUAACAAUGUAAUUCCACCAACAUCGGCUACUAUGGGAUCUCUAUAUCAGGAACAUCACGAAGAAGAUUAUUUCCUGUACAUUGCCUACUCCGAUGAAAACGUUUAUGGCAAAAACUAAGUAGCAUUCACAUUUUGGGGGAAGGCAUGUAUGGCGGCGUUUGAAAAAACUAAUCGAGUUGCUGUAUUACGAAGAAAAUUACAAUGAUGAAAAUUAAAUAAUACAAAAAAAAUAAUUAAAUACUUUGUGCUGAUUGAGGAAAAAUUGUUUGAGUAAUAUCUUGGCGAAAAGGGAACGAUAAAAUAAAUGAAUAUCAGCAAACAAAAAAUUUAAAAGAAUUAUUAAAUAUAAUAAUAUAUAUAUUUAAAAAUAUAUACAAUGGAUAUAUAUUAUGUAUAUGAAAUAAUUUGUGUAGCUAUAAAUAUUAGUUAUAAAUAUUAUAAUCCAAUUUAUCUUUUAUUUUUGCGGUACUAUCCUUGGGUUUGGUACUUUCAGCAAUUUUUUGUUUUUUCAGUUAUAAGUUUUCUUGUUGACAUUUUAUACUUUCCUUUCAUGAUAAUUAUCUUCACCAUUCGAAUUUUUAAAAAUCUAUACUAUUUUCUUCCCUGGACGGUGGAAUUGUUCAUCAUUUAAGGCAAUACGUGUGUAAAUGAAUUAUUUUUAAUAUUUGAGUUAUAAAAUAAAUGAAGAUCGUGAUUGCGAUAUUCCUUUA
Non-coding RNA from Bactrocera oleae (olive fruit fly), 2869 nucleotides. The record is from RefSeq and is a predicted model, not a curated record. NCBI's taxonomy places the organism in Eukaryota, Metazoa, Arthropoda, Insecta, Diptera, Tephritidae.